Molecule: ribosomal RNA, 460 nt
Filed under: uncultured bacterium
Lineage: Bacteria
Description: partial 16S ribosomal RNA
Rfam family: Bacterial small subunit ribosomal RNA
Source: RNAcentral
CCUACGGGAGGCAGCAGUGAGGAAUAUUGGUCAAUGGACGCAAGUCUGAACCAGCCAUGCCGCGUGCAGGAAGACGGCUCUAUGAGUUGUAAACUGCUUUUGUACGAGGGUAAACGCAGAUACGCGUAUCUGUCUGAAAGUAUCGUACGAAUAAGGAUCGGCUAACUCCGUGCCAGCAGCCGCGGUAAUACGGAGGAUUCAAGCGUUAUCCGGAUUUAUUGGGUUUAAAGGGUGCGUAGGCGGUCGGAUAAGUUAGAGGUGAAAUCCCGAGGCUCAACUUCGGAAUUGCCUCUGAUACUGGUCGGCUAGAGAGUAGUUGCGGUAGGCGGAAUGUAUGGUGUAGCGGUGAAAUGCUUAGAGAUCAUACAGAACACCGAUUGCGAAGGCAGCUUACCAAGCUACUUCUGACGUUGAGGCACGAAAGCGUGGGGAGCGAACAGGAUUAGAUACCCCUGUAGUC